This 586-nucleotide ribosomal RNA is filed under the name Salmonella enterica subsp. enterica serovar Oranienburg. RNAcentral describes it as "partial 23S ribosomal RNA". It matches the Rfam family "Bacterial large subunit ribosomal RNA", at positions 911 to 1498 of the family's 2925-position model. The record is from RNAcentral. RNAcentral also lists the same sequence under 1 other name. Lineage: Bacteria; Pseudomonadati; Pseudomonadota; Gammaproteobacteria; Enterobacterales; Enterobacteriaceae.
UGUUUCGGCUAGGGGGCCAUCCCGGCUUACCAACCCGAUGCAAACUGCGAAUACCGGAGAAUGUUAUCACGGGAGACACACGGCGGGUGCUAACGUCCGUCGUGAAGAGGGAAACAACCCAGACCGCCAGCUAAGGUCCCAAAGUCAUGGUUAAGUGGGAAACGAUGUGGGAAGGCCCAGACAGCCAGGAUGUUGGCUUAGAAGCAGCCAUCAUUUAAAGAAAGCGUAAUAGCUCACUGGUCGAGUCGGCCUGCGCGGAAGAUGUAACGGGGCUAAACCAUGCACCGAAGCUGCGGCAGCGACGCUGAUGCGUUGUUGGGUAGGGGAGCGUUCUGUAAGCCUGUGAAGGUGGCCUGUGAGGGUUGCUGGAGGUAUCAGAAGUGCGAAUGCUGACAUAAGUAACGAUAAAGCGGGUGAAAAGCCCGCUCGCCGGAAGACCAAGGGUUCCUGUCCAACGUUAAUCGGGGCAGGGUGAGUCGACCCCUAAGGCGAGGCCGAAAGGCGUAGUCGAUGGGAAACGGGUUAAUAUUCCCGUACUUGGUGUUACUGCGAAGGGGGGACGGAGAAGGCUAUGUUGGCCGGGCGA